Molecule: ribosomal RNA, 468 nt
Filed under: uncultured bacterium
Lineage: Bacteria
Description: partial 16S ribosomal RNA
Rfam family: Bacterial small subunit ribosomal RNA
Source: RNAcentral
GACGAACGCUGGCGGCGUGCUUAACACAUGCAAGUCGAACGGAAAGGCCCUGCUUUUGUGGGGUGCUCGAGUGGCGAACGGGUGAGUAACACGUGAGUAACCUGCCCUUGACUUUGGGAUAACUUCAGGAAACUGGGGCUAAUACCGGAUAGGAGCUCCUGCUGCAUGGUGGGGGUUGGAAAGUUUCGGCGGUUGGGGAUGGACUCGCGGCUUAUCAGCUUGUUGGUGGGGUAGUGGCUUACCAAGGCUUUGACGGGUAGCCGGCCUGAGAGGGUGACCGGCCACAUUGGGACUGAGAUACGGCCCAGACUCCUACGGGAGGCAGCAGUGGGGAAUAUUGCACAAUGGGCGGAAGCCUGAUGCAGCAACGCCGCGUGCGGGAUGACGGCCUUCGGGUUGGAAACCGCUUCCGCCUGUGACGAAGCGUGAGUGACGGUAAUGGGUAAAGAAGCACCGGCUAACUACGUG